This 390-nucleotide ribosomal RNA is filed under the name uncultured bacterium. RNAcentral describes it as "bacterial SSU rRNA". It matches the Rfam family "Bacterial small subunit ribosomal RNA", at positions 28 to 410 of the family's 1533-position model. The record is from RNAcentral.
GACGAACGCUGGCGGUGCGCCUCAUACAUGCAAGUGGAGCGACGGACCAGGGCUUGCCCUGGGGCCAAGCCGCGAACGGGUGAGUAACACGUGGGUAACCUGCCCCGAUGACCGGGACAACUCGAGGAAACUCGGGCUAAUACCGGAUGUGCUCUUCGCGCACAAGCGCGACGAGCAAAGGAAGCUUCGGCCUCCGCUUCGGGAGGGGCCCGCGGCCCAUUAGCUUGUUGGUGAAGGUAACGGCUCACCAAGGCAACGAUGGGUAGCUGGUCUAAGAGGACGGUCAGCCACACUGGGACUGAGACACGGCCCAGACUCCUACGGGAGGCAGCAGUAGGGAAUCUUGCGCAAUGCGCGAAAGCGUGACGCAGCGACGCCGCGUGGGGGAAG